This 2389-nucleotide ribosomal RNA is filed under the name Arthrobotrys musiformis. RNAcentral describes it as "SSU rRNA". The stretch from base 1 to 1899 matches the Rfam family "Bacterial small subunit ribosomal RNA". Lineage: Eukaryota; Fungi; Ascomycota; Orbiliomycetes; Orbiliales; Orbiliaceae. The record is from RNAcentral.
AUUAAGUUGAGUUUGAUGAUGGCUCUGAAUGAACGCUAUUCAAAUGCCUGACACAUGCUAAUCGUACGUUUGUAGUUCAACAAUUGUUAACUACAAAAGUGGUGUACAGGUGAGUAAAUGGUGAAUUGGUUACCUUAAAGUGAGGGAUAAAAUACCUUAUAACAAAAGGAGUAAUCUGCUUUAAGAUAUUAGUUGUAUCUCGGGUAGGUAGUAGGAGAGGUAAUUGCUCAACUAGCCUAAUAUCCCGUAGUCGAGGCUGAAAGGUCGAUCGACCACAUUGGAUAUGAACAAAAUUCAAUGCAUGAUAGUACAGCAGUGAGGGAUAUUGGUCAAUAGCCGAAAGGCUGAACCAGCAAUUUGAAAGAAUGGCCUUACUAGUUUUAACUAGUUUGAGGGGGGAUAGAUUAUAUGUAAUUAAUUAUGUAUAAAGGGGUCCAAGCCUUAGGCCAAAAGCCUAGGAUUAAAGUUCUGAAUAGAAUAAUGAUAAUGACAAUUUUCUAAUUCAAGUGUCUUGACAAAUUCAUGUGCCAGCAGUCGCGGUAAUACAUGAUAGACUAGUGUUAUUCAUCUUUAAUGGGUUUAAAGGGUACCUAGACGGAAGUUCAAGCCUGCGAGGGGACUGAAUUUCUAGAGUUUUAUGUGAGAAGGGGAGUACUACUGAUGGAGAGAUGAAAUUUGAUGAUAUCUUUAGGACUGGUAAAGGCGAAGGCAACCUUUUAAGUAAAAACUGACGUUGAGGGACGAAGGCUUAGGUCACGAACAGGAUUAGAUACCCUAGUAGUCUUUGCAGAAAACGCUGAAUGCUAUAGGUUAGAAUUAAAAUUUUUGCCUAUAAAUGAAAAUGUAAGCAUUCCACCUCAAGAGUAAUUCGGCAACGUAGAAACUGAAAUCAUUAGACCGUUUCUUGAAACCAGUAGUGAAGUAUGUUAUUUAAUUCGAUGAUCCACGAAAAAUCUUACCAUAACUUGAAUAGCUGGUAAAAUAUAAAAAUUAUAAUUAUUUUAUAAACGAGUUAUUAAACCUGUUCUAAAAAAGAAGGAAUACAGGAUAAUAAAUAACAGAUAAAUUUUAUCAUAUGAAUUUAUUUCAAAUAAGUCAUAUAUACCUAUGCUACAGGUGUUGCACGGCUGUCUUAAGUUAAUGUCGUGAGAUCAUGGUUAGAUCCAACAAUUAGCGUAAGCCCUUAGUUUAUUUAAAAAAAUAUAAAUUAUUAAUAUAUUUAUUAUAAGAAUAUUUAUUAUAAAAAUAUAUUAAGCAAAUAUUUUAAAUGUUUAAAUGUUUAAUAUUUUUAAUAAAUUUAAUAUUAGGAAUAAGAAGAGUAAUAUUUUAAAGAUUUAGGAACAUUACGGAGGAAUGUUUUUAAUAUUUAGGAAUAUUUAGGAAAAGGUAAUAUUUUGAUGUACAAUAUUAAAUUUAAGAAGAAAUAUUUUUAAUGUUUAGUAUUAAAUAUUUGUUUUUAUAAAUAAAUAAAUUAGUUCACUAAGAAAAUGGCGUGUGAUAACCGGGAAUAAGACAAGUCAUCAUGGCCCUUCUAUCGUAAAAAAGUUAAUGUUAUGGGCUAUAGACGUGCCACAUAUGCCUUGACAAAGGGAUGCAAAAAUGUGAGUUUUAGCUAAUCCUACAAAAAAAGGAAAUAAAAAAAAUGGAUUGUAGUCUGAAAUUCGACUACAUGAAAAAGAAAUUACUAGUAAUCGUGUAUCACAAUGGCACGGUGAAUCUUAUCUCAGAUUGGUACUAACCACUCGUCAGGCGCUGAAAAUUGUGAGUGCAAUAAGUUUGGGGGAUUCAAAUAAAAAGUAUAAGCAACUGGGCUUAUGGCAUUUGAGAAUCUUUCUUCGUAUGCACAGCUUUGAUUAGUGUUAAGUUAUUUAGGGAGUGAGGUACCCUAUUAUUAGCUUAAGAAUGGAUCAAAACUGUCAAUAUCCUAAAGCUUUACUAACAAAAUUAUAAGAGAGAGCCUUAUAGUGAAGAAAUAGUUGUAAAGAUAUCAAUCCGUCAUCGCUAUGCGAAGAUGGGCUUCUGAGAAGAAAAUGGACAAGACGGUGCUAACUCGUCAGAGCAGUUUUAAACUGUUCCCGACAAAGCUAACAGACUAAACGUUCCACGUUAGAGGUAAAAGCCCUCGAGUUGUAAACUUAAAAAUGAUAAAAUUUAAGUUGAAGCGAAGCCGAAAGGAAGACGAAGAGAUAGUCGGACCUGAUUUGAAAGAAUCAACCCUUGCAAGAGGGGGAGGAUAUAUUUAUUUUACAAUUUAUGUAUCUAUGGAAAAGGGCGCCUCAAUAAGUAUAUAAAUCUUAAGACUUGACUAUCGCAAUGCGAUGGAGAAGUAAGCCCCUUACUCGCGAAAUAUGGUUCGUGUAGUGGAAGUUGCACGGGAAUGAUUAAUUAU